This 253-nucleotide ribosomal RNA is filed under the name uncultured bacterium. Its description in RNAcentral is "partial 16S ribosomal RNA". It matches the Rfam family "Bacterial small subunit ribosomal RNA", at positions 524 to 776 of the family's 1533-position model. The record is from RNAcentral.
UACGAAGGGUGCAAACGUUGCUCGGAAUCAUUGGGCGUAAAGCGCACGUAGGCGGCUUUGCAAGUCGGACGUGAAAUCCCUCAGCUCAACUGAGGACGUGCAUCCGAAACUGCAAGGCUUGAGUACUGAAGAGGAUCGCGGAAUUCCCGGUGUAGAGGUGAAAUUCGUAGAUAUCGGGAGGAACACCAGUGGCGAAGGCGGCGAUCUGGGCAGAUACUGACGCUGAGGUGCGAAAGCGUGGGGAGCAAACAGG